CUCCUUGUAUAGAACCACCACCACCUCCACCGUGUAUAGAGUAUUCACCUCCUCCUCCUCCACCAGUCGUUCAUUAUAGCUCUCCGCCUCCACCGCCAGUCUACUACAGCUCUCCGCCACCUCCACCAGUCUAUUACAGCUCUCCACCUCCGCCACCGCCGGUUCAUUACAGCUCUCCGCCACCACCAGAAGUCCAUUACCAUUCUCCGCCUCCAUCUCCAGUACACUACAGCUCUCCACCACCGCCACCAUCAGCUCCAUGUGAAGAAUCUCCUCCACCAGCACCGGUAGUUCACCACAGUCCACCACCGCCCAUGGUUCACCACAGCCCACCACCUCCAGUGAUCCACCAAAGCCCACCAC
RNAcentral lists this long non-coding RNA (363 nucleotides) under Arabidopsis thaliana (thale cress). Its description in RNAcentral is "long non-coding RNA (ATHA_LNC000250)". Lineage: Eukaryota; Viridiplantae; Streptophyta; Magnoliopsida; Brassicales; Brassicaceae. The record is from RNAcentral.